Molecule: ribosomal RNA, 464 nt
Filed under: Vreelandella stevensii
Lineage: Bacteria; Pseudomonadati; Pseudomonadota; Gammaproteobacteria; Oceanospirillales; Halomonadaceae
Description: partial 16S ribosomal RNA
Rfam family: Bacterial small subunit ribosomal RNA
Source: RNAcentral
CCUACGGUGGCAGCAGUGGGGAAUAUUGGACAAUGGGCGAAAGCCUGAUCCAGCCAUGCCGCGUGUGUGAAGAAGGCCUUCGGGUUGUAAAGCACUUUCAGUGGGGAAGAAAGCCUUGGGGCUAAUACCCUCGAGGAAGGACAUCACCCACAGAAGAAGCACCGGCUAACUCCGUGCCAGCAGCCGCGGUAAUACGGAGGGUGCGAGCGUUAAUCGGAAUUACUGGGCGUAAAGCGCGCGUAGGCGGUCUGAUAAGCCGGUUGUGAAAGCCCCGGGCUCAACCUGGGAACGGCAUCCGGAACUGUCAGGCUAGAGUGCAGGAGAGGAAGGUAGAAUUCCCGGUGUAGCAGUGAAAUGCGUAGAGAUCGGGAGGAAUACCAGUGGCGAAGGCGGCCUUCUGGACUGACACUGACGCUGAGGUGCGAAAGCGUGGGUAGCAAACAGGAUUAGAUACCCCUGUAGUC